This 1179-nucleotide ribosomal RNA is filed under the name Salmonella enterica. Its description in RNAcentral is "partial 23S ribosomal RNA". It matches the Rfam family "Bacterial large subunit ribosomal RNA", at positions 1 to 1221 of the family's 2925-position model. Lineage: Bacteria; Pseudomonadati; Pseudomonadota; Gammaproteobacteria; Enterobacterales; Enterobacteriaceae. The record is from RNAcentral. RNAcentral also lists the same sequence under 1 other name.
GGUUAAGCGACUAAGCGUACACGGUGGAUGCCCUGGCAGUCAGAGGCGAUGAAGGGCGUGCUAAUCUGCGAUAAGCGCCGGUAAGGUGAUAUGAACCGUUAUAACCGGCGAUACCCGAAUGGGGAAACCCAGUGUGAUUCGUCACACUAUCAUUACGUGAAUACAUAGCGUAAUGAAGCGAACCGGGGGAACUGAAACAUCUAAGUACCCCGAGGAAAAGAAAUCAACCGAGAUUCCCCCAGUAGCGGCGAGCGAACGGGGAGGAGCCCAGAGCCUGAAUCAGCAUGUGUGUUAGUGGAAGCGUCUGGAAAGGCGCGCGAUACAGGGUGACAGCCCCGUACACAAAAGCGCAUGUGUUGUGAGCUCGAUGAGUAGGGCGGGACACGUGGUAUCCUGUCUGAAUAUGGGGGGACCAUCCUCCAAGGCUAAAUACUCCUGACUGACCGAUAGUGAACCAGUACCGUGAGGGAAAGGCGAAAAGAACCCCGGCGAGGGGAGUGAAAAAGAACCUGAAACCGUGUACGUACAAGCAGUGGGAGCACCCUUUGGGGUGUGACUGCGUACCUUUUGUAUAAUGGGUCAGCGACUUAUAUUCUGUAGCAAGGUUAACCGAAUAGGGGAGCCGGAGGGAAACCGAGUCUUAAUUGGGCGUUAAGUUGCAGGGUAUAGACCCGAAACCCGGUGAUCUAGCCAUGGGCAGGUUGAAGGUUGGGUAACACUAACUGGAGGACCGAACCGACUAAUGUUGAAAAAUUAGCGGAUGACCUGUGGCUGGGGGUGAAAGGCCAAUCAAACCGGGAGAUAGCUGGUUCUCCCCGAAAGCUAUUUAGGUAGCGCCUCGUGAACUCAUCUCCGGGGGUAGAGCACUGUUUCGGCUAGGGGGCCAUCCCGGCUUACCAACCCGAUGCAAACUGCGAAUACCGGAGAAUGUUAUCACGGGAGACACACGGCGGGUGCUAACGUCCGUCGUGAAGAGGGAAACAACCCAGACCGCCAGCUAAGGUCCCAAAGUCAUAGUUAAGUGGGAAACGAUGUGGGAAGGCCCAGACAGCCAGGAUGUUGGCUUAGAAGCAGCCAUCAUUUAAAGAAAGCGUAAUAGCUCACUGGUCGAGUCGGCCUGCGCGGAAGAUGUAACGGGGCUAAACUAUGCACCGAAGCUGCGGCAGCGACACUAUGUGU